This is an RNA transcript of Hippopotamus amphibius kiboko, 2834 nucleotides long. It is a transcript of the gene named tRNA methyltransferase 11 homolog, with no coding region annotated. The transcript is spliced from 14 exons. Lineage: Eukaryota; Metazoa; Chordata; Mammalia; Artiodactyla; Hippopotamidae. The record is from RefSeq and is a predicted model, not a curated record.
CGCGCUGUGGGCUGAUGCGAUGGCGCUGCCGGCUACCCUGAACAGGUAUCUUCUGCUCAUGGCACAGGAGCACCUGGAGUUCCGCCUGCCGGAAAUAAAGUCUUUGCUUUCACUUUUUGGAGGUCAGUUCACCAGUAGUCAGGAAACUUAUGGAAUGUCUCCUUUUUGGAUUCUUAGCAUUCCCUCUGAAGAUAUUGCCAGAAACUUAAUGAAACGGACAGUGUGUGCCAAGUCUAUAUUUGAAUUGUGGGGUCAUGGAAAGUCUCCAGAGGAGCUGUAUAGUUCUCUGAAAAACUACCCUGCGGAGAAGAUGGUUCCAUUUCUGCAUUCAGAUUCUACAUAUAAAAUAAAGAUUCACACAUUUAAUAAAACAUUGACACAAGAAGACAAAGUCAAACGGAUAGAUGCACUUGAAUUUCUGCCAUUUGAAGGAAAAGUGAAUUUAAAGAAGCCACAACAUAUAUUCUCUAUUUUGGAGGAUUAUGGUUUAGACCCAAACUGCAUCCCUGAGAAUCCACUUAAUAUUUAUUUUGGUAGAUGGAUUGCAGAUGGGCAGAGAGAGCUAAUUGAGUCAUACAGUGUCAAAAAGAGACACUUCAUUGGAAAUACCAGCAUGGAUGCUGGUUUAUCAUUCAUCAUGGCCAAUCAUGGAAAAGUGAAAGAAAAUGAUAUUGUAUUUGAUCCAUUUGUUGGAACAGGUGGCCUUCUGAUAGCAUCUGCUCAUUUUGGUGCAUAUGUAUAUGGGACAGACAUAGACUACAACACCAUUCAUGGCUUGGGAAAGGCUAGUAGGAAAAACCAGAAAUGGAGAGGACCAGAUGAAAACAUUAGGGCAAAUCUUCGUCAGUAUGGCUUAGAGAAGUAUUACCUUGAUGUCCUUGUUUCGGAUGCAUCUAAACCUUCUUGGAGGAAAGGCACAUAUUUUGAUGCAAUCAUCACUGAUCCUCCAUAUGGUAUUAGAGAAUCUACAAGAAGAACAGGUUCACAGAAGGAAAUACCAAAAGGGAUAGAAAAAUGUCCAGAAAGCCACGUUCCUGUUUCCCUGAGCUAUCAUCUGAGUGAUAUGUUUUUUGACUUGUUAAACUUUGCAGCUGAGACCCUCGUGUUAGGUGGAAGACUAGUCUAUUGGUUACCAGUGUACACACCAGAGUCACUACUCACAUUGACAGCUCUAUUGUUGACAGCCACCAUCAUGAUGACUUUUCUAUUCCAUCAUUCCUUCUGCGUAUGGUACAUCACUAGAUUUGACAAUUUGACAUCUAUAAACCCUGCUGUUUGCAUGCCUAAGGUCAAAACUAUAUCUUCUCUUUGUUACCAUUAUUUAAAUCUGUCAAUUAUGGUGUAGAAUGUAUUCUUUCACAUCAUAAAUGCUUUGUUAUGAAGACUCCAAAUUUUACAUCAACUAAUGUUAUAGGAGCACAACAUUUCUGACUGUAUAGUGAGCAUUAGAGAAUUAUUAGGUGAGAUGAAAUCUGGAGUGGCCAUUACUUGUUGGAAAGCCCUAAGGAAGGAGGCAGAAAGUGACUUCAAGAGAAUUCCUUCCACUGAUAAUGAAGUGCAGUGCAUUAAGAAUGUUGCUUGGUAAGUGGGUGAUGAAAGUUUUGAGCAUGUGGUCAAGGUAAUGAGGGAGAGCUUGUUGAAGGUCACAGGGACCUAGAGAAAUCAGUUAAAGAAUGGUGGGGAAGACACUGUUGAUGCAUUAGAAUGCGCUAGCCAAGAUGGUGGUCCUUUACAGGAAGUGCUGGUCAGCACCUUUCGCAUUUUGGAUCAGAGCUUUAAGAUUUCCCGUAUAAGAAAUGUUUGCAGACUGUUUAUCUAGAAAGUUAUGAAGAUUUGCAAAGGAAAACUAAAAACUGGCAAUCACAAUGUUCUAAAAGGUGCCCAUACCUAGUGAGCCCUCUCUCCCACUGUUGUUCUGAAUUCUGCUCCACAGCUGUUUCCCCCACAUUUGUUACCUGUUUCUUCUACCAAGAUUAACCCAGCAACCUAUCAGAUGUCAGGUUCUGAACUACUGCAGCCUGGCUGUCCUGCUAUCUAGGUGCCAUCGUCUUCAUUCACAAAGUACAUGUGCUGCACAGCAGGAGGCACCACUGCUUCUUAUCAUAACUUUGGUUUCAUUUCAUGGCAAAGGAUUGAUGUCAUCUGUAGUGUUUUAGUGGUAAUUUAUCUGAAUAAUCCCAUAAAAGAAAGUUAAUAGAGGUCUCAAGAUGUCAUUAAAAUUUUGCAGACACAUUUUAUUUUAAAGGGGAAAGUAUAUGCUGUAGUGGACUUUGUUCUUUGGGAAUUUAUAAAAAUCUUCAAUUGAAUCAGUCCCUCAUGAAUGUCAGGGGGCUGUUGUGGAAUGUAUUUCUGUCUGUCUUAUGUGCUCUUGUGGGAUCCUUUAGGGUGGAAUUGUCAUCUUGUAUUUUUGUGGUUUAAAUGCUUGGGAUUCUUCAAUAAAACAUACUUGUAUUCUUUCUCAUUCUCAUUAUACAGGUAAAAAAAAUAAGCUACUUUCUUUGGAUGUGGUAAUUUAAAAUACUUUGCUUUUUAAAAGUUCAGAUUGUUUGUGGAUUAUGUGGACGGUUGGCAUAUGUGAAAUAAAACGGUACAGCAUGUAGUGUGGAGGACACUGAAUAACCCCAAUGACGAUCCUGUGCACGGCGCACAUGUGAGUGUUCCUAACAGUCAGCUGUUCUUUCUUCAGAUACACUGAGGAGAUGGUACCCUGGCACCCUUGCUUGAAACUCAUCAGCAACUGUGAGCAGAAGCUUUCCAGUCACACAUCGAGGCGGUUGAUAACAAUGGAAAAGGUGAAGGAAUUUGAGAACCGGGACCAGUAUUCACAUCUGCUA